This 372-nucleotide ribosomal RNA is filed under the name uncultured bacterium. Its description in RNAcentral is "bacterial SSU rRNA". It matches the Rfam family "Bacterial small subunit ribosomal RNA", at positions 525 to 896 of the family's 1533-position model. The record is from RNAcentral.
ACGAAGGGGGCUAGCGUUGCUCGGAAUGACUGGGCGUAAAGGGCGCGUAGGCGGAUGGCUUUGUCGGGCGUGAAAUUCCAGGGCUUAACCUUGGGACUGCGUUCGAGACGGGUUGUCUAGAGUUUGGAAGAGGGUCGUGGAAUUCCCAGUGUAGAGGUGAAAUUCGUAGAUAUUGGGAAGAACACCGGUGGCGAAGGCGGCGACCUGGUCCUUGACUGACGCUGAGGCGCGAAAGCGUGGGGAGCAAACAGGAUUAGAUACCCUGGUAGUCCACGCUGUAAACGAUGUGCGCUGGAUGUUGGGCGGCCUAGCCGUUCAGUGUCGUAGCUAACGCGGUAAGCGCACCGCCUGGGGAGUACGGCCGCAAGGUUG